UGUUUUGGUCUGGCUGGCCUUGUCUUCACGAGAGGCGCCAUCACGACCGGGUUCGGGGAAUUGGGUCGUGACAUCCGCUCUACGUUCAACUCGAGAGGAAAACAAAUCUUUGAAUGAGGAAAACAAAUCCUUACAUGAUCGCUUGUCUACCUUAGAAGAUGAGAUAAAAGAAAUGAGGAAAAUAAAGGAAUACUUUGCUGCUAAACAAUCACAUGUCUCGCCUUUGACAUCGCACGUUUCAACUGAAUGACCACUACUUUUGACUGCUGACCAAGUUAGUAACAAUAUACCCUGCUUUUUAAAUUUUUUGUUGAUUUAUAUAGUCAUUUCUAUCUUAUUGCUAUCUCUGUUGUCACUGAGGAUUUACCUUAUCCUAGCAAAAUAGUACUAAUUGCACUAUUCAAAUGGCUGGGUUAGUGAUUGCUGGAACCCUUGCUAGAUAGAAGUCGAUAUGCCUUCAGCAUAAAUACUGUGCCCAUUUGAAGUAAAGCCUAGAACUUUUUUUCUCGAACAGUAAAAGAGCAUUUUUAUUGACACCAGCACUAAGUACUACUGAAAUAUCCAGUGUUGGAGCAGCUGUAACAUGCGUUUGUAAUUCCCCUUCCUUGUGAUCAUCAGAAGUACAUAAGUCCUUUGUGAUAUGUAGUCGAGCAGCUACAUUUUUUGAAUUUUGCUGUUGUUUUACAUUACUUUUAUAUCACGCGUACUCCCAAGUUCACCUUGAACCUUUCAAUGGUUUGACAUUGUGGCAGAAAUAGCCUCAGAUUACACUCAUUUGCUUGCACACAUGACUGAUAUGAAGAUACUAUCUAUUCAAUUUGUUAUAAUAAAGCAUACAGAACAUAUUUUGUAUGUAUGUGUUCUAGCAAACAUAUAUAAUCUAUGCCUUUAGUCCUACUUACUCUCAAGCAAGGUGGGUGCUAAUCUGCUGAUAUGUAUUAGCAUUUGUGAGCUCUCACAAAUAUUAGUUCAUUAGUGUACAAAAGACCAGCAUUUGGUACUACUAGCUAGUAAAACUUCUACAACAUGAAAAACAUGUUUGUGAUAUACGCUCACUCACAAUUACUCCUGGAAAUUUGUAAUACUUCACGAUCAUCUCCCUUGUCAUGAAAUCCAGUAGCACCUUUAAAAUUUGCACCUUCAAUAGCAUAAUCAGUAGCACCAUUACUAACUAAUUUUCUAUAUUCCUCUAGCCUUGUUGAUAUUGCUGGAUACACCUGAUGAAUUUAGAUUGCUUUUGGGGUUUUGAAGAUUGAAACUACAAGUCAAGAUGCAAGUUUGGAAAAUACACAAGCUCAUUAUUAUUUUGCUAUGUAAAACUUGAUAUCAUAUAGUCUAGCUCAGGAUGUUAGCUAAGUUUUUUUGUUAAGGUGUCGAGAAAAUACUGAAACUAACAUCAUGGGAUGUUAACAUUGCAAUUAAUAACUUUAUUACCUUUUUAUAUCUA
Nicotiana tabacum (common tobacco) is the source of this 1447-nucleotide non-coding RNA. The record is from RefSeq and is a predicted model, not a curated record. Lineage: Eukaryota; Viridiplantae; Streptophyta; Magnoliopsida; Solanales; Solanaceae.